CCUUCCUCUCACCAUGGUAGUGAUCAGGGGCUUUGGAAGCAGCAGCAAAACUAACAGGAAAUCUGGGAGUAGCUGGUCCUGUAGGAUCCCCCAAGAGGUGACGAGAUCAGAGAGGCUUCAGCAGGGGAGACAUGGCCCAGCUCUGUGUAUCCAACAAGUCCUUCAUGUGUCUUCCCUUCAUUCACCAAGCCUGUCCUGAGUCCCUGGGCAUGACCCUGAAGCCUCCACCUUUAUUGUUUAAUUCGCUCACCAAUCCAAUCCUGGGAGGUAGGUGUGACCAUCACCCCAUUUCUACAUGAGGAAACUGAGGCUCAGAGGAGAGCAGUGGCCUGCCUUAAGUCACAGAGCUGGGAAGUAGCAGAGCUGGGAUUCCCACGGCACAGGUUGUCUCCUUCCAGCCUAGGUUUGAGGGAAACUGGGAAGGUUGGGUCAACAGGUUGCAGUGACUGUGUGUGUGUUUCUGGCUCGGGCCUGUGCAGCUGGCUAGGAGACAGGACUGCCAGGGGAUGGGAGUGCCUGGCAGGGUGAUGGGGAACAGUGAGGAGAAGCAGGUUCCGCAGGCAGCCGGCCAGGACCGGUGGAGGUGGGCUGAGCCUGGAACCCAGUCUUCCUGUUCCCAGCACCAGCGUCCCCUCGCCAGCCGGCUCCUAGCACUGGAGUCCUGGUUGCCAGUCCCAUUCAUCGUCUGAACCAUCGCUAGACCUCGCUUUUUGCAUCAGAGAAACAAGGGCAGAGACCUGGGUUUGGGGGGGUUGGUUUAUAGCCCCGGGGGAUUCCUGCUCCUUUAAGCUUUUCUCCAUGGAGAGGGUGCGGCCAGCCGCAGGUAGCCUUCUGUGAUCAGAGAAGGAGCCCUAACAUUAGCUCAGCAGUUGUACCUCCAAUUGACAAAUGAGAAUGUGGGCUCAAAGUACCGCAGUGACCACAGCAGUUCCCAUGGUAGGCACGUGCAUUUGAUCCCAUGACUUCUACCACUCAGGACGGGGAAGCUGAGGCCCAGAGAGGAUUCAGAAAAUGCAGACCAUAUCCACCCCCAACACUACCUGCCCAGCCGGGAAGCACAGGGGUCAUUCUCUUGGAGGGUGAGAGAGGGCAACUCCAUUCUGGGUAAGAA
Long non-coding RNA from Bos taurus (domestic cattle), 1111 nucleotides. NCBI's taxonomy places the organism in Eukaryota, Metazoa, Chordata, Mammalia, Artiodactyla, Bovidae. The record is from Ensembl.